CUGAUAGCUUGCAUUUGUUACAAGAAAGGAGGAAAUCAUAAACUACACAAAGAAAGAAGCUCCUGAAAAAGGACAGAAGAUAACUCCCUGUUCUCAGCUUCUCAAGUGGUUCAGAGACACCUACCAAAAACUGUGGUCUUCUCCCACAGAGCUGCAAGUAAGGGACUGAUCUGAAAUUAAAGGGAAGAUUCAGAUGGAGAAAGGAAAGGGACAUUUGCUUUACACAAACCACUCUUCAUUUGCCAGACAUUGGAUAUGGUCCAUAAAANAAAAGAGUCAAGGCCGGUUCGUGCCAUUGAUUCCUCCAGCACUAGAACAGCUGCAGUCUAUCUUGGGAAAUGCAAAUUCAGCAAGGAAACCUAAGCAUGAAAGCGGCCUAUGGACGACCAUANCCACGGCAGUUUCCAUGACUCGAUGCUAGAUGAAGUGUCACAGACCAAAGGCAGAUACGGCUGUCUCUGAAUACGACAGAAGGACACAGCUAUUUCUGAAUAAGAGAAAAUCAUAUGAAUGUGUUAUUUAAAUAUUUAUCUGUUUAUUUAAACAACCGUGUACCAUUGCUGACCAUAAAUUUCAGGGUGGUUUAUAACAACAAAACAGNAUAAGAUCAAUACAUUUGAACAGUAGGAAACAACAGAAAGAGCUAUGAA
This 650-nucleotide long non-coding RNA is filed under the name Salvator merianae (Argentine black and white tegu). RNAcentral describes it as "lncRNA (ENSSMRG00000003126.1)". Lineage: Eukaryota; Metazoa; Chordata; Lepidosauria; Squamata; Teiidae. The record is from RNAcentral.